AACGUAGGGGGCAAGCGUUGUUCGGAAUUACUGGGCGUAAAGCGCGUGUAGGCGGCUUGGCAAGUCGGAAGUGAAAGCCCUCGGCUCAACCGGGGAACUGCUUUCGAAACUGCCAGGCUUGAGUGCGGGAGGGGAGAGCGGAAUUCCCGGUGUAGCGGUGAAAUGCGUAGAUAUCGGGAAGAACACCGGUGGCGAAGGCGGCUCUCUGGACCGCUACUGACGCUGGGACGCGAAAGCGUGGGGAGCAAACAGG
RNAcentral lists this ribosomal RNA (253 nucleotides) under uncultured bacterium. RNAcentral describes it as "partial 16S ribosomal RNA". It matches the Rfam family "Bacterial small subunit ribosomal RNA", at positions 524 to 776 of the family's 1533-position model. The record is from RNAcentral.